RNAcentral lists this ribosomal RNA (253 nucleotides) under uncultured bacterium. RNAcentral's name for it is "partial 16S ribosomal RNA". It matches the Rfam family "Bacterial small subunit ribosomal RNA", at positions 524 to 776 of the family's 1533-position model. The record is from RNAcentral.
UACGUAGGGACCGAGCGUUGUCCGGAAUCAUUGGGCGUAAAGAGCGUGUAGGCGGCCACUUAAGUCCUGCGUGAAAUCUUGCGGCUCAACCGCAAGCGGUCGUGGGAAACUGGGUGGCUAGAGUGCGGGAGAGGAGAGUGGAAUUCCUGGUGUAGCGGUGGAAUGCGCAGAUAUCAGGAGGAACACCGGUGGCGAAGGCGGUUCUCUGGGCAUGUCCUGACGCUGAGGAGCGAAAGUGUGGGGAGCAAACGGG